Molecule: ribosomal RNA, 500 nt
Filed under: uncultured soil bacterium
Lineage: Bacteria
Description: bacterial SSU rRNA
Rfam family: Bacterial small subunit ribosomal RNA
Source: RNAcentral
AGGACGAACGCUGGCGGCGUGCCUAAUACAUGCAAGUAGAACGCUGAAGAGAGGAGCUUGCUCUUCUUGGAUGAGUUGCGAACGGGUGAGUAACGCGUAGGUAACCUGCCUUGUAGCGGGGGAUAACUAUUGGAAACGAUAGCUAAUACCGCAUAACAAUGGAUGACACAUGUCAUUUAUUUGAAAGGGGCAAUUGCUCCACUACAAGAUGGACCUGCGUUGUAUUAGCUAGUAGGUGAGGUAAUGGCUCACCUAGGCGACGAUACAUAGCCGACCUGAGAGGGUGAUCGGCCACACUGGGACUGAGACACGGCCCAGACUCCGUACGGGAGCAGCAGUAGGGAAUCUCGGCGAAGUGGGGCGAACCUGACCGAGCAACGCCGCGUGAGUGAAGAAGGUUUCGAUCGUAAGCUCUAGUUGUAAGUCGAAGGAACGGUGUAGAGAGUAGGAAAGUUCACUACGUGUAGACGGUACGACGUUAACCGAAGGAAACGGUACGG